GAUGAACGCUGGCGGCGUGCCUAAUACAUGCAAGUCGAGCGAACAGACGAGGAGCUUGCUCCUCUGACGUUAGCGGCGGACGGGUGAGUAACACGUGGAUAACCUACCUAUAAGACUGGGAUAACUUCGGGAAACCGGAGCUAAUACCGGAUCAUAUAUUGCACCACAUGGUUCAAUAGUGAAAGACGGUUUUGCUGUUACUUAUAGAUGGCUCCGCGCCGCAUUAGCUAGUUGGUAAGGGAACGGCUUACCAAGGCAACGAUGCGUAGCCGACCUGCGAGGAGGAUCGCCCACACCGGAACGGAGACACGCUCCAGACUCCUAAGAGAGGCAGCAGUAGGGAAUCUUACGCAAUGCGCGAAAGCUUGACGGAGCAUCGCCGCGUGAGAGAGGAAGGUCUUCGGAUCGUAAAACUCUGUUAUUAGGGAGGAACAAAUGUGUAAGUAACGAUGCACGUCUUGACGGUACCUAAUCAGAAAGCCACGGCUAACUACGUG
Molecule: ribosomal RNA, 497 nt
Filed under: uncultured bacterium
Lineage: Bacteria
Description: partial 16S ribosomal RNA
Rfam family: Bacterial small subunit ribosomal RNA
Source: RNAcentral